CUCGGGUAAACAGACCUUUUCCCACUGCCACCUCUGGGGCAAAAAAUACACUGUGCUUGCUCAAUUCCCAAUCCUUCCAAAAUAUCGAAGAUUACAUUAAAUGAGAAUUCAACUGCGAACUCACAUGGAAGUACAGAACUUAUCCAGAAAAUAAUAUGUAGAGCACCAUGAUGAUCAGUGAGAAGAUAUAAUAAAAAGUUUGCAGAUGCAGAUAUUUCCUGAGAAAACCCCAAUUUAUAACAUUUAACAUCAAGUUCCUAUGAAUGUACGCAAGAGG
Long non-coding RNA from Balaenoptera musculus (blue whale), 277 nucleotides. RefSeq lists it as uncharacterized. NCBI's taxonomy places the organism in Eukaryota, Metazoa, Chordata, Mammalia, Artiodactyla, Balaenopteridae. The transcript has 3 exons. The record is from RefSeq and is a predicted model, not a curated record.